This 250-nucleotide ribosomal RNA is filed under the name uncultured bacterium. Its description in RNAcentral is "partial 16S ribosomal RNA". It matches the Rfam family "Bacterial small subunit ribosomal RNA", at positions 524 to 772 of the family's 1533-position model. The record is from RNAcentral.
UACGGGGGGGGGUAAGCGUUGUUCGGAAUUACUGGGCGUAAAGGGCUCGUAGGCGGCCAACUAAGUCACACGUGAAAUCCCUCAGCUUAACUGGGGAACUGCGUGUGAUACUGGAUGGCUUGGAUCCGGGAGAGGGAUGCGGAAUUCCAGGUGUAGCGGUGAAAUGCGUAGAUAUCUGGAGGAACACCGGUGGCGAAGGCGGCAUCCUGGACCGGUAUUGACGCUGAGGAGCGAAAGCCAGGGGAGCAAA